AUGUGUCAUUUGUUCCAGUUGAGGUACCUAAAAGUUGUAGCAGCUUAUGGUGAAAUAGUGCUACCAAGGAAAAUUCGGAGACUGGAGCAAUUAGAGACGCUGGAAUUAAGAACUUACGAAUAUAGCAUGGUUCAAGUUCCGUCAGAUAUUGUUCAUCUGCGCCGGUUAUUGCACCUGAUCGUUCCUAUUGGGAUAAGUUUGCCCUCUAGGAUCGGCAGCAUGAAAUCCCUACGGACACUGCGAGGCUUCGACUUGGGCAUGAACUCAGUAGAAAACAUCAGAGACCUCAGAGAUCUGACCAAUCUGAAGGAUCUUGAAAUAUGCCGUGUCUACCGGAAGCAGUUGGAUGAGGCAGAAGCAACAAAACUUAUGAAUAUUCUGAGAUUCUCCCUAGAAAAACUUUGCAACCUCAGAUACCUGUGUAUGGAAUCUUAUCUCCCCAGCGCAUGCUCGGAUGCAUUGGGUUCACUAUCCGCUUCUCCCCGCCUUCUUCGCAGGCUCCAUUUACGGGGUUGCAUGUUAUCGAGGGUUCCCAAGUGGAUUCAGGAGCUCCAUAACCUCUACGACCUUGCACUAGGGGUUAAGGAGGUGUUGGAUGAUGAUGUUGGAAUCAUUGCACAGUUGCACUCCCUUAUCCACCUGGAUUUGUACAUCUUUGGAACUCCUAAAGAGAGGGUCACCAUCUGUGGAACAGGAUUCCUUGCUCUCAAGCAUUUCAAAGUCGCCUGCCGUUGGACAUCAUACCUGACGUUUGCGGCAGGGGCAAUGCCCAAGCUCCAGAGGCUCGAGAUCGGAUUCAAUGCGCGCGAAUGGGAUCAGUAUGGUGCUGCUUUUGUCGGCAUCGAGCACUUGUCAGGCCUCAAGGAAGUCUUUGUACGUAUUGGGGGAUAUGGUGCCGAGGAAUCAAGUGCAAGAGCUGUGCAGUCCGUGUUGAGAAAUGCCAUUGGCAUGCACCCGAGUUGUCCUACAGCUAACAUCAAGUGUGAUGAGAACAUGCAUUUUACUUUUGAUGACUAG
Molecule: ribosomal RNA, 1017 nt
Filed under: Triticum aestivum (bread wheat)
Lineage: Eukaryota; Viridiplantae; Streptophyta; Magnoliopsida; Poales; Poaceae
Description: partial small subunit ribosomal RNA
Source: RNAcentral